Molecule: ribosomal RNA, 542 nt
Filed under: Stenotrophomonas sp.
Lineage: Bacteria; Pseudomonadati; Pseudomonadota; Gammaproteobacteria; Lysobacterales; Lysobacteraceae
Description: bacterial SSU rRNA
Rfam family: Bacterial small subunit ribosomal RNA
Source: RNAcentral
GAAUACAUCGGAAUCUACUUUUUCGUGGGGGAUAACGAAGGGAAACUUACGCUAAUACCGCAUACGACCUACGGGUGAAAGCAGGGGAUCUUCGGACCUUGCGCGAUUGAAUGAGCCGAUGUCGGAUUAGCUAGUUGGCGGGGUAAAGGCCCACCAAGGCGACGAUCCGUAGCUGGUCUGAGAGGAUGAUCAGCCACACUGGAACUGAGACACGGUCCAGACUCCUACGGGAGGCAGCAGUGGGGAAUAUUGGACAAUGGGCGCAAGCCUGAUCCAGCCAUACCGCGUGGGUGAAGAAGGCCUUCGGGUUGUAAAGCCCUUUUGUUGGGAAAGAAAUCCAGCUGGUUAAUACCCGGUUUUUUAUUAUUGUACCCAAAGAAUAAGCACCGGCUAACUUCGUGCCAGCAGCCGCGGUAAUACGAAGGGUGCAAGCGUUACUCGGAAUUACUGGGCGUAAAGCGUGCGUAGGUGGUCGUUUAAGUCUGUUGUGAAAGCCCUGGGCUCAACCUGGGAACUGCAGUGGAAACUGGACGACUAGAGUG